AUUGAACGCUGGCGGCGUGCCUAACACAUGCAAGUCGAGCGGUAACAGGUGUAGCAAUACAUGCUGACGAGCGGCGGACGGGUGAGUAACGCUUGGGAAUCUGCCUAUUAGUGGGGGACAACCCGGGGAAACUCGGGCUAAUACCGCAUACGCUCUACGGAGGAAAGCCGGGGACCGCAAGGCCUGGCGUUAAUAGAUGAGCCCAAGUCGGAUUAGCUAGUUGGUAGGGUAAUGGCCUACCAAGGCGACGAUCCGUAACUGGUCUGAGAGGACGACCAGUCACACCGGAACUGAGACACGGUCCGGACUCCUACGGGAGGCAGCAGUGGGGAAUAUUGGACAAUGGGCGAAAGCCUGAUCCAGCGACGCCGCGUGGGUGAAGAAGGCCUGCGGGUUGU
Molecule: ribosomal RNA, 398 nt
Filed under: uncultured bacterium
Lineage: Bacteria
Description: bacterial SSU rRNA
Rfam family: Bacterial small subunit ribosomal RNA
Source: RNAcentral